GUCACACCUGAAAAAGGAAAUGGCUGCUUAACCGCCCUGCCCCAUCACAUCUGGGCCAGAUACCCAGACCUCUCCGGAACUCCAGAGGGCACGGCCGAGACUGGUGCAGGCUCCUCCCCAAGAGUUUGUGGGGUGACUCACCCUUUGCUCUUCAAGGGACUGGAUCUGGGGACACGUCCGGGCCCCGCUGUGGGGUCGGCUGGAGGACCAGGACCUGCGGGCACCACAGAUGGAAGGGCCACCUGGGGGGGGGCAGCCACCAGCUGGGCUCUUAGGACUUGGGGGGCAGCUGCAAUGGGGCGUGCCCUCCUGCCCCAGGGCAACCUUGGUAGCCGGGCAGACCUGGCCCCCGCAGCACUGCCCUGUCCUAGCUGAGUGACGUUGAGAAGCAGGGGGUGUUCUCUGGGCCUCGGCGGGCUCGCUGCAAACACAUCGCAGCUCUGUCUGUACUCACGGUGUGUCCCGUGUCCCGGCCUCUGGCUCUGGUUUGCCCCGGAGUCCUCGGCCGGGAGGAACCCAUGGGAUAGGGUGAGCGGACCUGCCUGCUGAGGAGGGGGCAGGGGGGUAGGCCUGCCCCCGAGGCCCUCUGGGGUCUGAGCAUGUGGGGGCUGCAGCCGUCGCUCCCUCUCCCCGCCGUGGCGGAGCUCCUGACACAUAGCAGCCCGACCACAGCCCCCACAUCCAGUGCAGCUGCCCCAGGCUGAACUGCCCCUGCGGACCACAGGGCCCCCUUGGGCCCCAGGCAGGCCUGCUGCUGCCUCAACCUCCACCACAGCGGCUGAUGGGGCCUGGGGCCUGCCCUGGGCCUCCAAGCUGUGGGCCUGCUGGCGGGGUACAGUGUAGGGUGAAGACCACCUCUCUCCCACACGCGGUGGCUCUGGCAGACCCAGAUUUAUGAGCAGGUCUGGGAGUGCGCAGGUGAGGACGUCUUCCCCAGCCUUCCCGGCGGACUUUGCCCCACACCACCUCUGGGUUCUUCUGUCACUUCCUGCUGCAGGCAGGCGUGCAGCACCUCCUUCGUGGGGGCCCGUCCUUCCCCGUCCUGCUCCUGCGCCAGCCUUGGGGUGGCAGAGCUUCUGGGGUUGUUCGGAUCUGCCCUGAAGCCCUGGAUGGCAAACGUCUCUUGGCAGAGUUAGACCAGCCGGCUGCCUCCCCCUCUGCAGUUGGGAUUGUGAAGGAGAAGUGGGCAGGCUGCCCCUCCCGGCUCCUCCAGGGGGACUGAUUCCUUUCGCAGCUGUGGUCUUCCCUUCUGCCGCUGUGCUCAGCCCCUUCCGGCCUGCAGGAAGCCCUCCCCACCUCUGCCUCCUCCAACCUCCCAGGCGCAGCUCAAGUGCCACCUCCUCCAAGAAGCCUCCCAGUCAUGACCUGCCUGUUAUGAACUUUAGUCUUCUGCCAGGCUUACCCAUCCCCCCACCAUGAACAGCAGCAACUGCAGCUCCAGUGAGCUCGCCUGGCCCCGGGCGGUCACGUACGUCCUCUACACCUACACGAGCCUGCUGCUGGUGCUGGGCCUGGCGCUCAACGGCGUGGCGCUCUGGGUGCUGUGCCACCGCCUGCAGCAGUGGACGGAGACCCGCGUCUACAUGGCCAACCUGGCCGUGUCCGACCUCUGCCUGCUCUGCACCCUGCCUUUCUUCCUGCACUCUCUGAGGAGCACUGUGGACACACCGCUCUGCCAGCUCUCCCAGGGCAUCUACCUGGCCAACAGAUGGCUGGGCAGAGCCAGGGAGGUGGCCUCUGAGCACAGGAACCUCUGGAGGGCGAAGACCCCACUGUCCAGAUGUUGCCAGGGGAACCCCCAAGGAGGUAGCCCCCUGCCCCACCCUCACCUGUGCCCUCCUGAGGGCCCUCACGCCUCUCCCCCACCUCCCCUUCCCGGUCCUGCUGCCCCACCUGCCUUCAGAAGGCAGGACCCCUGCCCCAGCCACCUCCCCCUCCUCCCCAGGAAACCGUUCCAGAGUAAAGGGCGAGCUGCCAUCAGAAUCCGUGGGUAUGUCCUGAGGAGCUCGGCUGACACAGUGCCCAGGCAAAGCUGGCCACGAGGGUGGGGGAUGCAGGCCGGCCUGGCCUGGCUCCUGGGCCCCAUGCCUGUCACCGGCCGCAUCACCAGGUUUCACAGCACCGCGCUGCCGGGGCACCGUGGGAGGGGAGCGGCUGUCGCACUGUGGAGGGUGGGGCCGCCAGCCUUCAUCCUGUCCUGGAAUGGAUUUUGGGUUUCUGCCCAAGGUCCCUCCUGUCCUAAUCCAACAUCUGUCCCUCCCUGCUCCCCCUGCAGAAACGGGUUGGGACAGGGAGGGGUAUCCGCAGCACAGAGGACAGCUGGGGCUGUUCAGUUGUGCAGAGGACACACCCUGGGAGAAGGCUCUGUGCCCCGAAGGAUGGGGCGAGGCUGACCCCACUGCAGAUCCUCCCAGCUCCCCCAGCCCACGCUAGCCUGCCCUCUCAGGGGAGCAAGGAACAUUCUGGAAGCCACAGAGGCCUGGAGGCAGUGUGUGGAGACCCUGGGUGGGAGUUCCCUCAGGGAGCACAGGCAGUGCGCCCUGCUGGGCCUCCCACCCCACCCUUCCUGCUCCAGCCCGAAGGGCCUGGACCUUAUGUGCGAUGACCCGCCCACUGUGAACGUGCCAAGCCCCACUGGACGUCAGUGUCAUUCACACCGAAGAGUCAAUGUGGACCGCUUUUAUUUCCAGAUGCUUUUUAGAUUUCUAGAUGAAACUUAAAGGGAAUCUUGCCAAUCUUUAGAGUAACUUUCUGUGUCUGUGACAGAUCCAUGGACCUGGGUGACCCACCCAUUACCAAGACAGGGGACAGACUCCCCACGUCCCUGCCCACUCAACUCCUGCCCUCAACAGAGGCCGCCCCUGUCCAGUUCCUGCCCUCACAGGCUCAUACCAAUGAGAGGACAAUCACACGCAGCCAGGUCCCCGGGCUCCCGCCACUUGUCCGGCCGUGUUCCUGGAGGGGACUGGCAGUGGGGCAACUGAUGCUGCUGCGCGUGUCAGAGUUUUGUCUCUUUUUACUGCUGAAUGAAUUCUAUUUUAUGGGCCAGCCUGGGGAGGGAGACCAUCCCGACGAGCACUGGAUCUUCCAGUUCUCAACAUGAUGCGACUCUUCAUUUCAUGUGGAUCUUCUUUGAUUUCUAUCAAUGUUUUCAAGUUUUUGGCAUGCAUAUUUUGCAAGUGUAUUAGAUUUACUGCUCUACUGACAUCUGUGUAGUUCACAUUUUUGAUGCUAUUAUAAACAGUACUGUUUUUACGACUAAAAUGUCCAACUGUUCAUUGCUGGCACAUAGAAAUGGAAUGAGUGUCCGUAUACUGACCAUAUAUCCUGCCACCUUGUGAAACUCAUUCAUUCUAGCAGCUUUUUUGUACAUUAUUUUGAAUUUUCUUGCUCAGCAAUUAUGCCAUCUGUGGACAGCUUCAUUUCUUCUGAUCUGUGCACCUUUU
Molecule: non-coding RNA, 3446 nt
Organism: Manis javanica (Malayan pangolin)
Lineage: Eukaryota; Metazoa; Chordata; Mammalia; Pholidota; Manidae
Source: RefSeq, a predicted model, not a curated record